RNAcentral lists this ribosomal RNA (255 nucleotides) under uncultured bacterium. RNAcentral's name for it is "partial 16S ribosomal RNA". It matches the Rfam family "Bacterial small subunit ribosomal RNA", at positions 524 to 776 of the family's 1533-position model. The record is from RNAcentral.
UACAGAGGGUGCGAGCGUUGUCCGGAAUCACUGGGCGUAAAGGGCGCGUAGGUGGUGGCUUAAGCGUGCGGUGAAAGCUCGGAGCUCAACUCCGAGUCGGCCGUGCGAACUGGGCUCACUGGAGCAUAGUAGAGGCAGGUGGAAUUCCGGGUGUAGCGGUGGAAUGCGUAGAGAUCCGGAAGAACACCGGUGGCGAAGGCGGCCUGCUGGGCUAUGGGCUGACACUGAGGCGCGACAGCGUGGGGAGCAAACAGG